This 445-nucleotide ribosomal RNA is filed under the name uncultured bacterium. RNAcentral describes it as "partial 16S ribosomal RNA". It matches the Rfam family "Bacterial small subunit ribosomal RNA", at positions 354 to 796 of the family's 1533-position model. The record is from RNAcentral.
GUGAGGAAUAUUGGUCAAUGGGCGAGAGCCUGAACCAGCCAUGCCGCGUGCAGGAAGAAUGCCCUAUGGGUUGUAAACUGCUUUUAUUUGGGAAUAAACCUUUCUACGUGUAGAAAGCUGAAGGUACUAAAUGAAUAAGCACCGGCUAACUCCGUGCCAGCAGCCGCGGUAAUACGGAGGGUGCAAGCGUUAUCCGGAAUCAUUGGGUUUAAAGGGUCCGCAGGCGGAUUAAUAAGUCAGUGGUGAAAUCUCAUAGCUUAACUAUGAAACUGCCAUUGAUACUGUUAGUCUUGAAUAUGGUCGAUGUGGGCGGAAUAUGACAUGUAGCGGUGAAAUGCUUAGAUAUGACAUAGAACACCGAUAGCGAAGGCAGCUCACUAAGUCUGAAUUGACGCUCAUGGACGAAAGCGCGGGUAGCAAACAGGAUUAGAAACCCCGGUAGUCC